Molecule: ribosomal RNA, 433 nt
Filed under: uncultured bacterium
Lineage: Bacteria
Description: partial 16S ribosomal RNA
Rfam family: Bacterial small subunit ribosomal RNA
Source: RNAcentral
AACGAACGCUGGCGGCAUGCCUAACACAUGCAAGUCGAACGAGACCUUCGGGUCUAGUGGCGCACGGGUGCGUAACGCGUGGGAACCUGCCCUUAGGUUCGGAAUAACUCCCCGAAAGGGGUGCUAAUACCGGAUAAUGUCCUCGGACCAAAGAUUUAUCGCCUUUGGAUGGGCCCGCGUUGGAUUAGCUAGUUGGUAGGGUAAAAGCCUACCAAGGCGACGAUCCAUAGCUGGUCUGAGAGGAUGAUCAGCCACACUGGGACUGAGACACGGCCCAGACUCCUACGGGAGGCAGCAGUGGGGGAUAUUGGACAAUGGGCGAAAGCCUGAUCCAGCAAUGCCGCGUGAGUGAUGAAGGCCUUAGGGUUGUAAAGCUCUUUUACCCGGGAUGAUAAUGACAGUACCGGGAGAAUAAGCUCCGGCUAACUCCGUG